Molecule: ribosomal RNA, 424 nt
Filed under: uncultured bacterium
Lineage: Bacteria
Description: bacterial SSU rRNA
Rfam family: Bacterial small subunit ribosomal RNA
Source: RNAcentral
GGAAUUUUGCGCAAUGGGGGAAACCCUGACGCAGCGACGCCGCGUGGAGGAGGAAGGUCUUCGGAUCGUAAACUCCUGUCAAGAGGGACGAAUGCCGUGGGGAUGAAUAAGCCCCGCGGUGGACGGUACCUCGGAAGGAAGCCACGGCUAACUCUGUGCCAGCAGCCGCGGUAAUACGGAGGGGGCAAGCGUUGUUCGGAAUUAUUGGGCGUAAAGGGCGCGUAGGCGGCCUGGUAAGUCAGUUGUGAAAGCCCUCGGCUCAACCGAGGAAUUGCGACUGAUACUGCCGGGCUUGAGUCCCGGAGAGGGUAGCGGAAUUCCCAGUGUAGCGGUGAAAUGCGUAGAUAUUGGGAGGAACAUCGGUGGCGAAGGCGGCUACCUGGACGGGUACUGACGCUGAGGCGCGAAAGCUAGGGGAGCAAAC